This 666-nucleotide ribosomal RNA is filed under the name Minimedusa cf. polyspora X-14. Its description in RNAcentral is "eukaryotic LSU rRNA". It matches the Rfam family "Eukaryotic large subunit ribosomal RNA", at positions 1 to 667 of the family's 3401-position model. The record is from RNAcentral. Lineage: Eukaryota; Fungi; Basidiomycota; Agaricomycetes; Cantharellales; Hydnaceae.
CAAAUCUGACCUCGAAUCAGGUGGGACUACCCGCUGAACUUAAGCAUAUCAAUAAGCGGAGGAAAAGAAACUAACAAGGAUUCCCCUAGUAACGGCGAGUGAAGCGGGAUGAGCUCAAAUUUAAAAUCUGAUAGUCUUUGGCUGUCCGAGUUGUAAUCUAGAGAAGUGUUUUCCGCGUUGGACCAUGUACAAGUUUCCUGGAACGGAACGUCAUAGAGGGUGAGAAUCCCGUCCUUGACAUGGACUACCAGUGCUUUGUGAUACACUCUCAACGAGUCGAGUUGUUUGGGAUUGCAGCUCAAAAUGGGAGGUAAAUUCCUUCUAAAGCUAAAUAUUGGCGAGAGACCGAUAGCGAACAAGUACCGUGAGGGAAAGAUGAAAAGCACUUUGGAAAGAGAGUUAAACAGUACGUGAAAUUGUUAAAAGGGAAACGAUUGAAGUCAGUCGCGUUUACUUGGACUCAGCCUUACCUCGGUUUGGUGCAUUUCCUUGUGAACGGGCCAGCGUCAAUGUUGUCCGUUGGAAAAGGGUUGGAGAAAUGUGGCUCUUUCGGGAGUGUUAUAGUCUCUGAUCGUAUACAACGGCUGAUAUUGAGUGGUACAGCAUGCUUCGGCGGUGCUUGUGCUGGCAUAAUGGCUUUAAACGACCCGUCUUGAAACACGGACC